UAGUCAUAUGCUUGUCUCAAAGAUUAAGCCAUGCAUGUCUAAGUAUAAGCAAUUACAAAGCGAAACUGCGAAUGGCUCAUUAUAUAAGUUAUCGUUUAUUUGAUAGUACCUUACUACAUGGAUAACCGUGGUAAUUCUAGAGCUAAUACAUGCUGAAAAUCCCGACUUCGGAAGGGAUGUAUUUAUUAGAUACAAAACCAAUGCCCUUCGGGGCUCUCUUGGUGAUUCAUGAUAACUUCUCGAAUCGCACGGCCCCGCGCCGGCGAUGGUUCAUUCAA
RNAcentral lists this ribosomal RNA (278 nucleotides) under uncultured eukaryote. RNAcentral describes it as "partial 18S ribosomal RNA". It matches the Rfam family "Eukaryotic small subunit ribosomal RNA", at positions 21 to 302 of the family's 1831-position model. The record is from RNAcentral.